CGACGUAAAGAACUUGCCUCACAGCUAGGGGUAACAUUUAGAAAUGAAUGCUAAUACCUGAUAUUAUGAUUUUAAGGCAUCUUAGAAUUAUGAAAGCUAUAAGCACUGUGAGAGAGCUUUGCGUCCCAUUAGCUAGUUGGAGAGGUAACAGCUCACCAAGGCGAUGAUGGGUAGCCGGCCUGAGAGGGUGAACGGCCACAAGGGGACUGAGACAUGGCCCUU
Molecule: ribosomal RNA, 222 nt
Filed under: uncultured bacterium
Lineage: Bacteria
Description: partial 16S ribosomal RNA
Rfam family: Bacterial small subunit ribosomal RNA
Source: RNAcentral